ACAGAAGGUGAGUUAGGUAUAACCAGGCUUGCCAACUCAAAGAAGGCAUUUCCGGGAUUUCCCAGCUCGGCAUUCGGUACUUUGGUAUAUUACGCGGGACACAACCUACACUUAUAAAAUGGCAGCAAAAAAAACUGUAUAUUUUUAAUAGAAAGCUUGAACAAACGAACGCUCCUCAAGCGAAAUACGUAAUGCAUAGGAGCGACAUUUAAAAUCUCAUACAAUACAAGAGACAAUAUUUCAGUGCAAAAAGUUAAACGCUGAACGCACAGAUUUUCAUGAAACGAACUGACUGAUUCAUAAGAAAAGGAGACAGACAAAUCACAAAAAAUAUGUUCACAGUCAGUAGACAAAAUAGAAAUGUUUAUAAUUAAAUGCAUUACAUACCUUUAAGUAAGUACUUUUAAAAUCCUAUAGCUCACAAAGCUACACUAACUUCUUUUGAACUGUACUUAUUU
Long non-coding RNA from Plodia interpunctella (Indianmeal moth), 458 nucleotides. RefSeq lists it as uncharacterized. The transcript has 2 exons. Lineage: Eukaryota; Metazoa; Arthropoda; Insecta; Lepidoptera; Pyralidae. The record is from RefSeq and is a predicted model, not a curated record.